Molecule: transfer RNA, 73 nt
Filed under: Phrynops hilarii (snake-necked turtle)
Lineage: Eukaryota; Metazoa; Chordata; Testudines; Chelidae
Description: tRNA-Pro
Source: RNAcentral
CAGAAGGUAGUUUAAUAUAAAAUUCCGGUUUUGGGGGCCGGAGAUGAGAUUUUAAGUUUAUUUCUCUUUUGAG